CCCAGCUGUGCCCUGCAGAUGUGAGAUAUGCAGAUGAGGCCGGGCAGGUUUUAUAAGGUGGGAGCAGCAGCAGCAUCACCCCACAGAGCAGCGGGGUCACCCCGAGAGGUGCUGUUCAUCCCUCUGCCCGCCGCCCUGGGCUGGAUAUCAUCAUAUACUGUAAGUUCACUAUGAGACACUACAGUAUAGAUGAUGUACUCCCCUGGGCUGCACCCGGCCCCGUAGAGCUGCUCCGUGGGACCUCAGUGUGGGGAGUUAUGGGGCGCCCUGAGGAGUGGAUGCAGCUGAGAACUCAUGGCUGGCAGGGAAACCGUUACCAUUACUGAGUUUAGUAAUGGUAACGGUUCUGCUGACGGCCAGGCGUGCUGCGAGGCAUGGAGUGCUGUGGGUCAAUGUGGGUCAAUGUGGGUCAGUAUGGGUCGGUGCUGUGGGUUCAAUAAAGUCAGAGAUGGCACAGAGA
This is a long non-coding RNA of Coturnix japonica (Japanese quail), 460 nucleotides long. RefSeq lists it as uncharacterized. The record is from RefSeq and is a predicted model, not a curated record. NCBI's taxonomy places the organism in Eukaryota, Metazoa, Chordata, Aves, Galliformes, Phasianidae.